UAAAAAUAAAGUUUAAUUUUGGCUUAAAAAUUUUCUUUGUUUUUUAUUUUACAUGUAAAUUUUUGUUUGAUUAGUUUUUAAUUUAAAUAAUUAAAAAUUUUUUUUAUAAUCGCAGUAUAAAAUAUUAAAUAUUAAAAAAAUUUAGAUUUAAAAAUAAAGUUAAAAAUUGACAAAAUUUGUGCCAGCAGUUGCGGUUACACAAAUAAUUUAAGAAAAUUUUUUUGGGAUAUAGUUAAAAGAAUAUAUAGUUGAUUUUAAUUAAAUUUUUUAAGUGAAAUUUAAAAUUUAUAUAAUUUUUAGAAUUAUUUUUUGAAACUAAUAAAUUUAAAUUAAAAACUAGGAUUAGAUACCCUAUUAUUUUAAACUUAAAUAAAAAAUUCCUAAUUAUUAAAAGUUAUGGUCUCUAAAAUUAAAAAAUUUGGCGGUAUUUUAGUCUUUUCAGAGGAACCUGUUCUAUAAUUGAUAGUCCACGAUUUAUUAUACUUACUUUAUAAAUUUAUAUAUCGUCGUAGUUUGAAUCUUUUUAAAGAAUAAUAAUAUUCAAAAUUUUCUAUAAAAAUAAAAAUCAGAUCAAGGUGUAGUGAAUAGGUAAGAAGAAAUGGGUUACAAUAAAUUAAUUUUUAGAUAAAUUUAUGAAAUUAAAUUUAGAAAUUGGAUUUGAAAGUAAUUUAAAAAAAAUUUUUUAAAUGAUUUAAGCUCUAAAAUAUGUACAUAUUGCCCGUCGCUUUUGUUUUAAGAUGAAAUAAGUCGUAACAAAGUAGAUUUACUGGAAAGUGAAUCUAGAAA
RNAcentral lists this ribosomal RNA (786 nucleotides) under Trichodes sp. RNAcentral describes it as "12S ribosomal RNA". Lineage: Eukaryota; Metazoa; Arthropoda; Insecta; Coleoptera; Cleridae. The record is from RNAcentral.